This 498-nucleotide ribosomal RNA is filed under the name Nematoda environmental sample. RNAcentral's name for it is "SSU rRNA". It matches the Rfam family "Eukaryotic small subunit ribosomal RNA", at positions 95 to 590 of the family's 1831-position model. The record is from RNAcentral. Lineage: Eukaryota; Metazoa; Nematoda.
GGCUCAUUAUAACAGCUAUAAUUUACUUGAUCUUGACACAAUCCUACUUGGAUAACUGUGGUAAUUCUAGAGCUAAUACAUGCAUUAAAGCUCUGACCUCACGGGAAGAGUGCAUUUAUUAGAACAAAACCAAGCGGCUUCGGCUGUUUCUGGUUGACUCAUAGUAACUGAGCUGAUCGCAUGGUCUUGCACCGGCGACGUGUCUUUCAAGUAUCUGCCGUAUCAACUUUCGAUGGUAGUGUAUCUGACUACCAUGGUGAUCACGCGUAACGGAGAAUAAGGGUUCGGCUCCGGAGAGUUCGCCUGAGAAAUCGCGAACACAUCUAAGGAAGGCAGCAGGCGCGAAAAUUACCCACUCUCAGCACGAGGAGGUAGUGACGAAAAAUAACGAGACCGUUCUCUUAUGAGGCCGGUCAUCGGAAUGGGUACAAUUUAAACCCUUUAACGAGUAUCUAUGAGAGGGCAAGUCUGGUGCCAGCAGCCGCGGUAAUUCCAGCU